RNAcentral lists this ribosomal RNA (497 nucleotides) under uncultured bacterium. RNAcentral's name for it is "partial 16S ribosomal RNA". It matches the Rfam family "Bacterial small subunit ribosomal RNA", at positions 28 to 507 of the family's 1533-position model. The record is from RNAcentral.
GAUGAACGCUGGCGGCGUGCCUAAUACAUGCAAGUCGAGCGAACGGACGAGAAGCUUGCUUCUCUGAUGUUAGCGGCGGACGGGUGAGUAACACGUGGAUAACCUACCUAUAGGACUGGGAUAACUUCGGGAAACCGGAGCUAAUACCUGAUAAUAUUUUGAACCGCAUGGUUCAAAAGUGAAAGACGGUCUUGCUGUCACUUAUAGAUGGAUCCGCGCUGCAUUAGCUAGUUGGUAAGGUAACGGCUUACCAAGGCAACGAUGCAUAGCCGACCUGAGAGGGUGAUCGGCCACACUGGAACUGAGACACGGUCCAGACUCCUACGGGAGGCAGCAGUAGGGAAUCUUCCGCAAUGGGCGAAAGCCUGACGGAGCAACGCCGCGUGAGUGAUGAAGGUCUUCGGAUCGUAAAACUCUGUUAUUAGGGAAGAACAUAUGUGUAAGCAACUGUGCACAUCUUGACGGUACCUAAUCAGAAAGCCACGGUUAACUACGUG